AUGUGAACUUAUCUCUUUGUUGCCUCGGCGCAAGCUACCCGGGACCUCGCGCCCCGGGCGGCCCGCCGGCGGACAAACCAAAACUCUUGUUAUCUUAGUUGAUUAUCUGAGUGUCUUAUUUAAUAAGUCAAAACUUUCAACAACGGAUCUCUUGGUUCUGGCAUCGAUGAAGAACGCAGCGAAAUGCGAUAAGUAAUGUGAAUUGCAGAAUUCAGUGAAUCAUCGAAUCUUUGAACGCACAUUGCGCCCAUUAGUAUUCUAGUGGGCAUGCCUGUUCGAGCGUCAUUUCAACCCCUAAGCACAGCUUAUUGUUGGGAACCUACGGCUUCGUAGUUCCUCAAAGACAUUGGCGGAGUGGCAGUGGUCCUCUGAGCGUAGUAAUCUUUUAUCUCGCUUCUGUUAGGUGCUGCCCCCCCGGCCGUAAAACCCCCAAUUUUUUCUGGUUGACCUCGGAUCAGGUAGGAAUACCCGCUGAACUUAAGCAUAUCAAUAAGGCGGAGGAA
Molecule: ribosomal RNA, 503 nt
Filed under: Nigrospora sphaerica
Lineage: Eukaryota; Fungi; Ascomycota; Sordariomycetes; Amphisphaeriales; Apiosporaceae
Description: eukaryotic LSU rRNA
Rfam family: 5.8S ribosomal RNA (bases 132-285)
Source: RNAcentral